RNAcentral lists this ribosomal RNA (301 nucleotides) under uncultured bacterium. Its description in RNAcentral is "partial 16S ribosomal RNA". It matches the Rfam family "Bacterial small subunit ribosomal RNA", at positions 509 to 809 of the family's 1533-position model. The record is from RNAcentral.
CAGCAGCCGCGGUAAUACGUAGGUGGCAAGCGUUGUCCGGAAUUAUUGGGCGUAAAGGGCUCGCAGGCGGUUUCUUAAGUCUGAUGUGAAAGCCCCCGGCUCAACCGGGGAGGGUCAUUGGAAACUGGGAAACUUGAGUGCAGAAGAGGAGAGUGGAAUUCCACGUGUAGCGGUGAAAUGCGUAGAGAUGUGGAGGAACACCAGUGGCGAAGGCGACUCUCUGGUCUGUAACUGACGCUGAGGAGCGAAAGCGUGGGGAGCGAACAGGAUUAGAUACCCCAGUAGUCCCUGUCUCUUAUAU